RNAcentral lists this ribosomal RNA (301 nucleotides) under uncultured bacterium. Its description in RNAcentral is "partial 16S ribosomal RNA". It matches the Rfam family "Bacterial small subunit ribosomal RNA", at positions 509 to 807 of the family's 1533-position model. The record is from RNAcentral.
CAGCAGCCGCGGGAAUACGAAGGGUGCAAGCGUUAAUCGGAAUUACUGGGCGUAAAGCGUGCGUAGGCGGUGAGUUAAGUCUGCUGUGAAAUCCCCAGGCUCAACCUGGGAAUGGCAGUGGAUACUGGCUCGCUAGAGUGUGUCAGAGGAUGGUGGAAUUCCCGGUGUAGCGGUGAAAUGCGUAGAGAUCGGGAGGAACAUCAGUGGCGAAGGCGGCCAUCUGGGACAACACUGGCGCUGAGGCACGAAAGCGUGGGGAGCAAACAGGAUUAGAUACCCCUGUAGUCCCUGUCUCUUAUAC